CAUACGGGGUGCAGCAGUGGGGAAUAUUGGACAAUGGGCGAAAGCCUGAUCCAGCCAUGCCGCGUGUGUGAAGAAGGCCUUCGGGUUGUAAAGCACUUUCAGUGGGGAAGAAAGCCUUGGGGCUAAUACCCUCGAGGAAGGACAUCACCCACAGAAGAAGCACCGGCUAACUCCGUGCCAGCAGCCGCGGUAAUACGGAGGGUGCGAGCGUUAAUCGGAAUUACUGGGCGUAAAGCGCGCGUAGGCGGUCUGAUAAGCCGGUUGUGAAAGCCCCGGGCUCAACCUGGGAACGGCAUCCGGAACUGUCAGGCUAGAGUGCAGGAGAGGAAGGUAGAAUUCCCGGUGUAGCGGUGAAAUGCGUAGAGAUCGGGAGGAAUACCAGUGGCGAAGGCGGCCUUCUGGACUGACACUGACGCUGAGGUGCGAAAGCGUGGGUAGCAAACAGGAUUAGAUACCCGUGUAGUC
RNAcentral lists this ribosomal RNA (465 nucleotides) under Vreelandella stevensii. RNAcentral describes it as "partial 16S ribosomal RNA". It matches the Rfam family "Bacterial small subunit ribosomal RNA", at positions 338 to 795 of the family's 1533-position model. The record is from RNAcentral. Lineage: Bacteria; Pseudomonadati; Pseudomonadota; Gammaproteobacteria; Oceanospirillales; Halomonadaceae.